RNAcentral lists this ribosomal RNA (253 nucleotides) under uncultured bacterium. RNAcentral describes it as "partial 16S ribosomal RNA". It matches the Rfam family "Bacterial small subunit ribosomal RNA", at positions 524 to 776 of the family's 1533-position model. The record is from RNAcentral.
UACAUGUGGGGCAAGCGUUGUUCGGAAUUACUGGGCAUAAAGGGUGCGUAGGCGGCUUGUUAAGUCAGGGGUGAAAGUUUUCGGCCCAACCGGAAAAUGGCCUUUGAUACUGGCGAGCUUGAGUGCGUGAGGGGUAACCGGAACGAGCAGUGUAGCGGUGAAAUGCGUAGAUAUUGCUCGGAAGGCCAACGGCGAAGGCAGGUUACUGGUACGCAACUGACGCUGAGGCACGAAAGCGUGGGGAGCUAACAGG